Molecule: unclassified non-coding RNA, 351 nt
Filed under: soil metagenome
Description: partial contains 5.8S ribosomal RNA, internal transcribed spacer 2, and large subunit ribosomal RNA
Rfam family: 5.8S ribosomal RNA (bases 1-119)
Source: RNAcentral
GAUGAAGAACGCAGCGAAAUGCGAUAAGUAAUGCGAAUUGCAGAAUCCGUGAGUCAUCGAAUCUUUGAACGCACAUUGCGCCCUCUGGUAUUCCGGAGGGCAUGCCUGUUCGAGCGUCAUUAUCACCCCUCAAGCCCGGCUUGUUGUUGGAUGCAGCGCUUAUCCCGCUCCUCCCAAAGAUAAUGACGGCGUCUGCGACGACUCCUGUACACUGAGCUUUCGGGCACGUACACGGCUAGAAGUCCAGACCCGGUCGCCGUCCCCCCCCGCGGGGGACACCCAUUACCACAAGGUUGACCUCGGAUCAGGUAGGAAUACCCGCUGAACUUAAGCAUAUCAAUAAGCGGAGGA